AGGGUCUGUCCUCCCAGAUGAGGAUUGAAGCUGGUUUAAGUCUCUGCGGAGCUGGUGAAGGUAUUUACAGAGCUGGUGAAGGUAGUUACAGAGCUGGUGAAGAUAUUUACAGAGCUGGUGAAGAUAUUUACAGAGCUGGUGAAGAUAUUUACAGAGCUGGUAAAGGUAUUUACAGAGCUGGUGAAGGUAUUUACAGAGCUGGUGAAGUCUCAACAUGGCCCGGCUGUUCCUGUUGGUUCUGACAUUAUCUGUUAUAUCAGCUGUAAGAGGAGAAGUGGUUGACAACUUCAACCAGUGCAAGCAGUUCUUCUUUAAUGAAAGACCAGUUCAGGGUCUUGAUAUAGCUUUGCCCACCCCCGAACCACUUUCCCUAGAAGAUCUGUAUCUCGAAAAAAGACGAGAGGUGUAUGUAGAGUUGUACAAAAAGAUGUAUAACAAAGUUAAACUUCAGAAGGAAUUUAAGGAGGUUCAGUUAGUAUUAGAGCCACUUAAGAUAGCUAUAGAUGAGGUUAAUCCAGAGUUGAACUUUAUUCAAUCUCAAUCAGAGAAGGCUAAAUCAGAAUUACAGAAACAUCCAGAAAUAUUUCAGAAACUUAAACCAGCAUUUGAUAGUAUUACUAAGGAGUUAGAGGACAUUACGAAAUCUAAAACGUCUGUUGAAAAUGAUGAACAACUUUUACAGAAUAUUAAGGAUGACCUUGAAGUUAGGAAAGUCUGUCACUCUGCUUAUUUGACUGGUAGUCCGGCACAUAUCUGUCAGAAAAAAGGAAACCUCUAUCACUUUGCCACUAUGUACGACCGAGGAAGAAGGAUCCCUCUCUACUCCGCCUACAAAAUGGACCGGAGUGGGAAAACUAAGAGGGAAGGGGAUGUAAUUUACUAUGAACCCCAGCUUGUGCAUGCUGGUCUAGAAUCUGAGCAGAACGAUGUCAAGAAAGUUAAAGGCUCAUUAAAAAAAUACAACAAGGACAAUGAAUGCAACGAGAAGUACCCUGCUUACAAACAAACAGACAAACUUCGCUGGAGCCAAGCAACCGAUGAUGACUUUGCUUCCUUCGACCGAGGACACCUGAACCCUGCUGGUCACCACGCUGAAGGAGAGGGUUCUAAAGCUACCAUGACCUUUACCAACGUGGCACCACAGAAUGAGAAAAUGAACAAAGAGGCCUGGAGCAAAUAUGAAACCAAGCUGAGGAUAAAAUAUGGAGGUGAAUUUACAGCAGGAGAUGAGAAGGACAGGAAUACUGAAAACAUUGAAAAACAAAAGUGUGAUAAUUUGUAUGUAGUGACGGGGGUUGUUCCAACAAAAAAAUUCCAGUUUGGGAGAGUUAAUGUUCCUAGUCACUACUGGAGUGCCCACUGCUGUACUGAGAUCAAUAAUGGUAAGGAGGUUCCUGUCCUGUCUGGAGGGGCUCUGUGUCCUAACACAGAUGAUGGAAAGGUUGAAGAGUUUGACAGAAUUACAGAUCUUGAAGAAAGGCUUAAAGAAUUAAUUCAAGAGCAACUACAGAUACACCUGACUAAUCCCAUCAGCAUUUUUGACAACUGUGCCUCAACUUCAAUAAUUUAAUUUCUGUUCACUUCCUUGAUCCCAUUUCAAUGGGAUUCCAUUUGGUAGAUCAGGCUUGGCAUCUAGCAUAUAUAUACACAUAUACAGCUCCAGAAAAAAAUAAGAGACCACUGCACCUUUUU
RNA transcript from Esox lucius (northern pike), 1692 nucleotides. RefSeq lists it as uncharacterized. The transcript is spliced from 3 exons. NCBI's taxonomy places the organism in Eukaryota, Metazoa, Chordata, Actinopteri, Esociformes, Esocidae. The record is from RefSeq and is a predicted model, not a curated record.